AUGGCGGAGGAACCGUCUGCCAAGCGUCAUCAUGGCGAGACGUCGGACAAGAGCAGCAACCUCGUCGACGUUCACGUCCCCGGCGAGAAGCGCGAGUACACCAAAACCCUCAUAGGGGUUGAGCUCCACGGCAAGGAGACGCUGGAGAUCAUCUGCACCAGCGAACCAGACAAGGCCGACGAGAUGAUCUCGAAGCUCUGGAGGAAGGUUGGUGGCUCGCAUCGUAGGAUCGUCGGCGUUGGUGUGCACUACACCAGCGAAGACGAACCUCCCCAGAUGGCAGCAGUCCUGCAGUUGUGCGUCGAGGAACUCUGCUUGGUGUACCACAUCACAGCGGCCGCAAAAUGGUGA
This 351-nucleotide ribosomal RNA is filed under the name Triticum aestivum (bread wheat). Its description in RNAcentral is "partial small subunit ribosomal RNA". The record is from RNAcentral. Lineage: Eukaryota; Viridiplantae; Streptophyta; Magnoliopsida; Poales; Poaceae.